RNAcentral lists this ribosomal RNA (293 nucleotides) under uncultured bacterium. RNAcentral's name for it is "partial 16S ribosomal RNA". The record is from RNAcentral.
GGACUACACGGGUUUCUAAUCCCAUUCGCUACCCACGCUUUCGUGUAUAAGUGUCAGUAAUGAGCCAGUGAGCUGCCUUCGCUUUUGGUGUUCCCCAUGAUAUCAACGGAUUUCACCCCUACACCAUGAGUUCCACUCACCCCUCUCACACUCUGAGUCGUGCCGUUUCAUUGGCGGACCCCCGGUUAAGCCGAAGAAUUUGACCAAUGACUAACGCGACCACCUGAACACGCUUUACGCCCAGUGAUUCCGGAUAACGCUUGGGGCACUCGUAUUACCGCGGCUGCUGGCAC